GUAUGUUCAAAAGCUCUGAAGUGGGAAGGAGUUUGACAUCUUCAGAGAAUAUGGAAAAGUUGAAGAUGGUAAGGUGGGAGAGUGGCACAAGUGUCAAUAGUGAUGUUAGAAGAGAAGAAGUGGUCAGAUCAUGUGACAAUCUUGUAAUCUAUAACAAGGUUGAAUUGUAGAACUGAUGGAAGUUGAGGGGGUUUAAAUAGGAUGAUAAUGCAUUCUUCUUAUUCUAAAAUUUUAAUAUCAUACUUCCUUCUCAAUAAAGAUCUAAACUCACCUUAGUGUUUGGGGUCCUCCACAGUGUAACCUCACUCUGAUACUCAAUGUAUUUUCUAAGACUCUUAAAGUUGAAUCAUUCAUUAAGUUCAGACCUCUCUUCUUUUGACUUUUUCAGCAUAAGUGUCCCUAACUAGACACAAUAGUUCCUUGACAGCAGGAACUAUUGAAACUGUUUUGUGUCCUUCAGAGUGCUAAGCACAUGGUUUUCCUUGAAUUGCAGUGAGUAAGGAAAACAAGAGAUAUCACCAGGGUAUUGUGUUUCCUUAUGUAUUCUAAAAUUAAAUUAUGGGUGUGGAAAUCUCCCAAGUAUAUUAUGGCUACCAUUCAUAUUAUGAAAAAACUAGUAAAAUCAUG
This 627-nucleotide long non-coding RNA is filed under the name Marmota monax (woodchuck). Lineage: Eukaryota; Metazoa; Chordata; Mammalia; Rodentia; Sciuridae. The record is from RNAcentral.